UAGGGAAUCUUCCACAAUGGGCGCAAGCCUGAUGGAGCAACACCGCGUGAGUGAAGAAGGGUUUCGGCUCGUAAAGCUCUGUUGUUGGAGAAGAACGUGCGUGAGAGUAACUGUUCAUGCAGUGACGGUAUCCAACCAGAAAGUCACGGCUAACUACGUGCC
RNAcentral lists this ribosomal RNA (162 nucleotides) under uncultured bacterium. RNAcentral's name for it is "partial 16S ribosomal RNA". It matches the Rfam family "Bacterial small subunit ribosomal RNA", at positions 355 to 509 of the family's 1533-position model. The record is from RNAcentral.